Molecule: ribosomal RNA, 1196 nt
Filed under: uncultured organism
Description: bacterial SSU rRNA
Rfam family: Bacterial small subunit ribosomal RNA
Source: RNAcentral
UCUGAUUAGUAAGUUGGUGAGGUAACGGCUCACCAAGGCGACGAUCAGGAGGAGUUCUGAGAGGAUUAUGCCCCACACUGGUACUGAGACACGGACCAGACUCCUACGGCAGGCAGCAGUGAGGAAUAUUGGUCAAUGGGUGAGAGCCUGAAGCAGGCAUCCCGCGUGCCGGAUGACGGCCCCAAUGGGUUGUAAACUGCUUUACUACGCCAAGAAAGGUCCCUACGUGUAUGGAAUUGACGGUAGCGUAGGACUAAGCAUCGGCUAACUCCGUGCCAGCAGCCGCGGUUAUACGGGAGGAGGCAAGCGUUAUCCGGAUUUAUUGGGUUUAAAGGGUGCGCAGACGGGUUUUUAAGUCAGUGGUGAAAUACUGCCGCUUAACGGUUGAAUUGCCAUUGAAACUAGGAAUCUUGAGUGCGGUUGAGGUAAGCGGAAUGUGUAGUGUAGCGGUGAAAUGCAUAGAUAUUACACAGAACACCGAUUGCGGAGGCAGCUUACUAAGCCAUAACUGACGCUGAGGCACGAAAGCGUGGGGAGCGAACAGGAUUAGAUACCCUGGUAGUCCACGCUGUAAACGAUGUUCACUCGCUGUUUGCGAUACACAGUAAGCGGCUGAGCGAAAGCAUUAAGUGAACCACCUGGGGAGUACGAUCGCAAGGUUGAAACUCAAAGGAAUUGACGGGGGCCCGCACAAGCGGAGGAACAUGUGGUUUAAUUCGAUGAUACGCGAGGAACCUUACCUGGGCUUAAAUGUAGACUGCAUAGGGUGGAAACAUUCUUUCCCUUCGGGACUGUUUACAAGGUGCUGCAUGGUUGUCGUCAGCUCGUGCCGUGAGGUGUCGGGUUAAGUCCCAUAACGAGCGCAACCCUUACCGUUAGUUGCCAACAGGUCAAGCUGGGGACUCUAGCGGGACUGCCACCGUAAGGUGAGAGGAAGGUGGGGAUGACGUCAAAUCAGCACGGCCCUUAUGUCCAGGGCUACACACGUGUUACAAUGGCCGGUACAGAGGGCAGCUACCACGCAAGUGGGUGCCAAUCCCGAAAGCCGGUCCCAGUUCGGAUUGGAGUCUGCAACCCGACUUCAUGAAGUUGGAUUCGCUAGUAAUCGCGCAUCACGCCAUCGCGCGGUGAAUACGUUCCCGGGCCUUGUACACACCGCCCGUCAAACCAUGGGAGCUGGGGGUGCCUGAAGUCUG